Molecule: ribosomal RNA, 464 nt
Filed under: uncultured bacterium
Lineage: Bacteria
Description: partial 16S ribosomal RNA
Rfam family: Bacterial small subunit ribosomal RNA
Source: RNAcentral
ACGAACGCUGGCGGCGUGCUUAACACAUGCAAGUCGAACGGAAAGGCCCUGCUUGCAGGGUACUCGAGUGGCGAACGGGUGAGUAACACGUGGGUGAUCUGCCCUGCACUUCGGGAUAAGCUUGGGAAACUGGGUCUAAUACCGGAUAGGAGCCAUCUUUAGUGUGGUGGUUGGAAAGUUUUUUCGGUGUAGGAUGAGCUCGCGGCCUAUCAGCUUGUUGGUGGGGUAAUGGCCUACCAAGGCGGCGACGGGUAGCCGGCCUGAGAGGGUGUACGGCCACAUUGGGACUGGGAUACGGCCCAGACUCCUACGGGGGGCAGCAGUGGGGAAUAUUGCACAAUGGGCGCAAGCCUGAUGCAGCGACGCCGCGGGGGGGAUGAAGGCCUUCGGGUUGGAAACUCCUUUCGCUAGGGACGAAGCUUUUUGUGACGGUACCUAGAUAAGAAGCACCGGCUAACUACGUG